This 466-nucleotide ribosomal RNA is filed under the name uncultured bacterium. RNAcentral's name for it is "bacterial SSU rRNA". It matches the Rfam family "Bacterial small subunit ribosomal RNA", at positions 28 to 507 of the family's 1533-position model. The record is from RNAcentral.
GACGAACGCUGGCGGCGUGCCUAACACAUGCAAGUCGAACGGGGCAGAGAGCUUCGGCUUUCUGCUUAGUGGCGAACGGGUGAGUAACGCGUGAGGAACCUGCCUCUCAGUGGGGGACAACAGUUGGAAACGACUGCUAAUACCGCAUAACACAGCGAAACCGCAUGGUUUUGCUGUCAAAGCUUUAUGUGCUGAGAGAUGGCCUCGCGUCUGAUUAGCUAGUUGGCGGGGUAACGGCCCACCAAGGCGACGAUCAGUAGCCGGUCUGAGAGGAUGAACGGCCACAUUGGGACUGAGAUACGGCCCAGACUCCUACGGGAGGCAGCAGUGGGGAAUAUUGGGCAAUGGGGGAAACCCUGACCCAGCAACGCCGCGUGAAGGAAGAAGGCCUUCGGGUUGUAAACUUCUUUUAGCAGGGACGAAGGACGUGACGGUACCUGCAGAAAAAGCAACGGCUAACUACGUG